GAGGGAGUAGUAUUAUCACUUUAUUAUUAGAGAAAAGUCUGUCAACAAAUUGUAAAUACUGCAUGAGAUAAUAUUGUUCAAUGAACAAGAUAACAUGAUGGGUUUUAGUAAUAAUAAGUAAUUAUAAGUAAUUUUAUAUCCUAGCCGCCAGCUAGUCAAGUAAUCAAUGUGUAAAAGUGCUUAAUAAUUUAACAGGAGUAAGUGUUAAAAGAUAGUUUAACACCAGUGCUACAUCUUGACACAGUUAGUCAAGCACUACUGCCGCACUGCAUAAUGCAGUCACAAUUUACAGAGAACUUGUCUAUCAUGAGAAUGUCUGAAUGAUGUAGCUGUCUAGUUGGAAUGGAACACAUUGGUACCAUAGGACGUCCUUCAACAGAAGCAACUGGUAGGAGGAUUACACGGUCUGUGUAUAAAAGUGGGCGGUGUUCGCUUUCAGGCAAACGUACUCUAGCUAAGAUGAGUCGACAUACACAAAACAUUGGCAAAAUGUAGAAAUAGUAAGAGCAUGAUUAGUUUCACACCAAAAGUAGUCUAGCCAGUUUACGUUUUUUUCAGUGAGAUAAAGCCAGGAAUUCAGACAUCUCAGCUAGUCUAACACUGAACAGACUGCUAACUACCGAGCGAAGGAACAUUAAUAGCAUCGGUGGAUAACUGAGCUAACUAGUACGUACAUAGCGCUAAUACAAGUGUAACGAAUAACAAACACCCCGCCUUAUAUUCAAAUAUGUUAAGGUAGCUAGAUAGACAACACAGUUGUAGACCUCGAGCUUUGGAUCAUCAGGAUCAGUCUAAUUGCUGGCUAGCAUGGUUGAAGAUCUGCAACAACUAGCGGUGCUAGUACACAAUUCCAAGCCGGCUGAAGUCCGAGCUGGACAUGGGGACCAAGUCCACAGGGUGCCUUUGACAUCUGACAGCAGGAUCAUAACAGGAUCAGUCUCCACGUCUCAAAUCCCGCGGUGGGAUGUGACUGUGAAAACAACGCGUGUUACAUAACCACAGACGCCCCCCUCACCGCCACGGACAGCGGCUCAGGAAGACACAUGGGAAGUUUGAACCUUUCCUGCUUCUCAGUCAGCUGGCACGAGACACGUCUGUGGUCCUGUAGCUGGUUGGGUAGACCUCAGAGGUAAAAGGCACGGGCUUCCCCAAACAAGUGAGAACACAGGACUACAAAUAAAUCAGCGGUAUGAGUUUGACAUGUAUAAGCUUUAUUUCUUAUUGAACAGUACCAUUCUCAGCUAUCGGGAUGAGCUCCUCCUAACUGUGAUGCACACAUUGCUUAGAUGGAGGUGGUGUUAAGACAAAGAUCAAUUAUAAAGCUUGUAUUAUAUUUUUUUGUAAGAUCUUCGGUUUCUUUCGUCUUUUUCUCAGUAAAUUGCGGUUAAAGUGUUCUUGUUACGCUGAACAGCUGGGAUAAAGUGGACAGUGGUGCUCUCUAGUGGUCAAAUCACACCAUUGCAUUCAUUAAAAAAAACAGUACUAAGGGGGAAAAGGACAUGUUGUUCCCACUGAGUGACACAUGAAUAUACAGUACCAGUAGAAAGUUUUGUACAACAUCAUGUGUUGCAAUUGCCGUGUUAUUGUACUGUUUAUGAAGCUCUGAACCCUCUGAUUCAGAGAGACUUGCUAAGACAUUCCUGGCUUCUUGAUGUGGUUGUUCCUUUGUCUUUUAUUCCACAAAUGAAAGUAAAAAGUAUUGGCUAAAACAUGCAAA
This is a long non-coding RNA of Hypomesus transpacificus, 1717 nucleotides long. RefSeq lists it as uncharacterized. Lineage: Eukaryota; Metazoa; Chordata; Actinopteri; Osmeriformes; Osmeridae. The transcript has 3 exons. The record is from RefSeq and is a predicted model, not a curated record.